GACGAACGCUGGCGGCGUGCUUAACACAUGCAAGUCGAACGGAAAGGCCCUGCUUUUGUGGGGUGCUCGAGUGGCGAACGGGUGAGUAACACGUGAGUAACCUGCCCUUGACUUUGGGAUAACUUCAGGAAACUGGGGCUAAUACCGGAUAGGAGCUCCUGCUGCAUGGUGGGGGUUGGAAAGUUUCGGCGGUUGGGGAUGGACUCGCGGCUUAUCAGCUUGUUUGUGGGGUAGUGGCUUACCAAGGCUUUGACGGGUAGCCGGCCUGAGAGGGUGACCGGCCACAUUGGGACUGAGAUACGGCCCAGACUCCUACGGGAGGCAGCAGGGGGGAAUAUUGCACAAUGGGCGGAAGCCUGAUGCAGCAACGCCGCGUGCGGGAUGACGGCCUUCGGGUGGUAAACCGCUUUCGCCUGUGACGAAGCGUGAGUGACGGUAAUGGGUAAAGAAGCACCGGCUAACUACGUG
RNAcentral lists this ribosomal RNA (468 nucleotides) under uncultured bacterium. RNAcentral's name for it is "partial 16S ribosomal RNA". It matches the Rfam family "Bacterial small subunit ribosomal RNA", at positions 28 to 507 of the family's 1533-position model. The record is from RNAcentral.